Molecule: ribosomal RNA, 205 nt
Filed under: uncultured Salmonella sp.
Lineage: Bacteria; Pseudomonadati; Pseudomonadota; Gammaproteobacteria; Enterobacterales; Enterobacteriaceae
Description: partial 16S ribosomal RNA
Rfam family: Bacterial small subunit ribosomal RNA
Source: RNAcentral
GCACGGGGGGCCUACGGGAGGCAGCAGUGGGGAAUAUUGCACAAUGGGCGCAAGCCUGAUGCAGCCAUGCCGSGUGUAUGAAGAAGGCCUUCGGGUUGUAAAGUACUUUCAGCGGGGAGGAAGGUGUUGUGGUUAAUAACCGCAGCAAUUGACGUUACCCGCAGAAGAAGCACCGGCUAACUCCGUGCCAGCAGCCGCGGUAAUA